CGGCGCCCGGGGGGAGGGGCGGGGGCGAGCGCAAGGGCGGGGGAGCGCUCGCACGCCCCGCCCCCGGGGGCGGUGCGCGCGCUCAUUGGCACUUGCGCCUCCCGCCGCCGCCGCUGGCACCGCCCCCCGGACUUGGGCCCGCCCCCUCUGGCCUCUGAUCCCCAGCGCAGGAGAGCGCGCCACAGGAUUCUGACGCCUCGUCGCGUCCUCGCUCCACGGGAUGGGCCGCCCGAACCGCAAACGUUGUGACCGCACCCCGGCUCCCGCUGCCUAGCGUUAGCAGUCAUGGGUGCGAGGAGUUGUGUAUGGGACACGGGGCAACUCGCUCCAGAGCCAACCAUGUGCUUCCCCGCGGCGCCGUGAGCUUCACGCCUUGGCCGGCGCCUGGUACACUUUCCCGCUCUUCCCGUCAGGAGGUGGUACUCUCAGGGUACCAGGCCGCCGGUCCCCGGCCAAUCGCAUCGCGCCUGGAGCCGAAUGGGGCGGGACCGAGGCAAGAAAGGGCGGUCCCAAUUGGAGCGUUCGAAAUGUCCUGGGCAGAGGCGGGGACGCAGUGGAUGGUGACCCCGCCUCCCUCGCGAUCACCAUAGUAACCGAGAGGGCGCUGCUCUGAGUUGGCGCCCGCGCUUGGACCUUGCUCUGUCCCUCAAGGGGUGACCAGGUAAGGUGUUCUCCGUGGACGCUACCCGCUAAUCUGUCUGGAAAUUCUUCGUUUUUAAGCUACGUGAAGGGUAGAGAUACCAUCAAGUCUUCUCAUCUGCUUCUCUGAGGGGAAGAAGCAGAUGCUGCCGAGCGAUCAUGCACCACGGGGAUCUUCACGUCAGUGCAAAAUGGUUGCGAUUUCCCCUCAUUUAUCGAGGACAGAUCUGCCGUGAUGUAGCAGACACCAGACUUGUCGCUUGAACUAUUUGGCUUAUUAAACAAAUCUUAUGUAUGACUUUGAUAAAAAAUAAAAUUGUAAUUACAUAAAAAGGAGA
RNAcentral lists this long non-coding RNA (977 nucleotides) under Equus caballus (horse). RNAcentral's name for it is "lncRNA (ENSECAG00000046610.1)". The record is from RNAcentral. Lineage: Eukaryota; Metazoa; Chordata; Mammalia; Perissodactyla; Equidae.